RNAcentral lists this ribosomal RNA (253 nucleotides) under uncultured bacterium. RNAcentral describes it as "partial 16S ribosomal RNA". It matches the Rfam family "Bacterial small subunit ribosomal RNA", at positions 524 to 776 of the family's 1533-position model. The record is from RNAcentral.
AACGUAGGAGACAAACGUUAUCCGGAGUUACUGGGCGUAAAGGGCGUGCAGGUGGUCUGUUAAGUCUGGCGUGAAAGCUCUCGGCUAAACCGGGAGAGGUCGUUGGAUACUGGCGGACUAGAGGACGGUAGAGGCGUGUGGAAUUCCGGGUGUAGUGGUGAAAUGCGUAGAGAUCCGGAGGAACACCAGUGGCGAAGGCUACACGCUGGGCCGUACCUGACACUAAAACGCGACAGCAUGGGGAGCGAACGGG